Molecule: transfer RNA, 77 nt
Filed under: Cupriavidus basilensis
Lineage: Bacteria; Pseudomonadati; Pseudomonadota; Betaproteobacteria; Burkholderiales; Burkholderiaceae
Description: tRNA-Arg
Source: RNAcentral
GCCAUUUUGAAGCGGUGGCAGAGAUUACUGCCCUCCGAAGGCAGGGGUUGCUGGUUCGAUCCCAGCCGGGCGCACCA